This 1192-nucleotide ribosomal RNA is filed under the name Talaromyces pinophilus. RNAcentral describes it as "LSU rRNA". It matches the Rfam family "Eukaryotic large subunit ribosomal RNA", at positions 199 to 1410 of the family's 3401-position model. Lineage: Eukaryota; Fungi; Ascomycota; Eurotiomycetes; Eurotiales; Trichocomaceae. The record is from RNAcentral.
GCCGUCAUAGAGGGUGAGAAUCCCGUCUGGGAUGGGCGGCCGCGCCCGUGUGAAGCUCCUUCGACGAGUCGAGUUGUUUGGGAAUGCAGCUCUAAGCGGGUGGUAAAUUUCAUCUAAAGCUAAAUACUGGCCGGAGACCGAUAGCGCACAAGUAGAGUGAUCGAAAGAUGAAAAGCACUUUGAAAAGAGAGUUAAACAGCACGUGAAAUUGUUGAAAGGGAAGCGUUGUCCACCAGACUCGCCCGGGGGGGUUCAGCCGGCACCUGUGCCGGUGUACUCCUCUCCGGGCGGGCCAGCAUCGGUUUGGGCGGCUGGUGAAAGGCCCCGGGAAUGUACCACCCUUCGGGGUGCCUUAUAGCCCGGGGUGCCAUACAGCCAGCCUGGACCGAGGCCCGCGCUUCGGCGAGGAUGCUGGCGUAAUGGUGGUCAACGGCCCGUCUUGAAACACGGACCAAGGAGUCUAACAUCUAUGCGAGUGUUCGGGUGUCAAACCCGUCCGCGCAGUGAAAGCGAACGGAGGUGGGAGCCCCUCGGGGCGCACCAUCGACCGAUCCUGAUGUCUUCGGAUGGAUUUGAGUAAGAGCAUAGCUGUUGGGACCCGAAAGAUGGUGAACUAUGCCUGAAUAGGGCGAAGCCAGAGGAAACUCUGGUGGAGGCUCGCAGCGGUUCUGACGUGCAAAUCGAUCGUCAAAUUUGGGUAUAGGGGCGAAAGACUAAUCGAACCAUCUGGUAGCUGGUUCCUGCCGAAGUUUCCCUCAGGAUAGCAGUAACGACAUCAGUUUUAUGAGGUAAAGCGAAUGAUUAGAGGCCUUGGGGUUGAAACAACCUUAACCUAUUCUCAAACUUUAAAUAUGUAAGAAGCCCUUGUUGCUUAGUUGAACGUGGGCGUUAGAAUGAAACGUUACUAGUGGGCCAUUUUUGGUAAGCAGAACUGGCGAUGCGGGAUGAACCGAACGCGAGGUUAAGGUGCCGGAAUGCACGCUCAUCAGACACCACAAAAGGUGUUAGUUCAUCUAGACAGCCCGACGGUGGCCAUGGAAGUCGGAAUCCGCUAAGGAGUGUGUAACAACUCACGGGCCGAAUGAACUAGCCCUGAAAAUGGAUGGCGCUCAAGCGUGCUACCCAUACCUCGCCGUCGGGGUAGAAACGAUGCCCCGACGAGUAGGCAGGCGUGGGGGUCCGUGACGAAGCC